RNAcentral lists this ribosomal RNA (1384 nucleotides) under uncultured bacterium. RNAcentral describes it as "bacterial SSU rRNA". It matches the Rfam family "Bacterial small subunit ribosomal RNA". The record is from RNAcentral.
AGAGUUUGAUCCUGGCUCAGGAUGAACGCUGGCGGCGUGCUUAACACAUGCAAGUCGAACGGGAAAUAUUUCAUUGAGACUUCGGUGGAUUUGAUCUAUUUCUAGUGGCGGACGGGUGAGUAACGCGUGGGUAACCUGCCUUAUACAGGGGGAUAACAGUCAGAAAUGGCUGCUAAUACCGCAUAAGCGCACAGAGCCGCAUGGCUCAGUGUGAAAAGCUCCGGUGGUAUAAGAUGGACCCGCGUUGGAUUAGCUUGCUGGUGGGGUAACGGCCCACCAAGGCGACGAUCCAUAGCCGGCCUGAGAGGGUGAACGGCCACAUUGGGACUGAGACACGGCCCAGACUCCUACGGGAGGCAGCAGUGGGGAAUAUUGCACAAUGGGGGAAACCCUGAUGCAGCGACGCCGCGUGAAGGAAGAAGUAUCUCGGUAUGUAAACUUCUAUCAGCAGGGAAGAUAAUGACGGUACCUGACUAAGAAGCCCCGGCUAACUACGUGCCAGCAGCCGCGGUGAUACGUAGGGGGCGAGCGUUAUCCGGAUUCAUUGGGCGUAAAGCGCGCGUAGGCGGCCCGGCAGGCCGGGGGUCGAAGCGGGGGGCUCAACCCCCCGAAGCCCCCGGAACCUCCGCGGCUUGGGUCCGGUAGGGGAGGGUGGAACACCCGGUGUAGCGGUGGAAUGCGCAGAUAUCGGGUGGAACACCGGUGGCGAAGGCGGCCCUCUGGGCCGAGACCGACGCUGAGGCGCGAAAGCUGGGGGAGCGAACAGGAUUAGAUACCCUGGUAGUCCCAGCCGUAAACGAUGGACGCUAGGUGUGGGGGGACGAUCCCCCCGUGCCGCAGCCAACGCAUUAAGCGUCCCGCCUGGGGAGUACGGCCGCAAGGCUAAAACUCAAAGGAAUUGACGGGGGCCCGCACAAGCAGCGGAGCAUGUGGCUUAAUUCGAAGCAACGCGAAGAACCUUACCAGGGCUUGACAUAUGGGUGAAGCGGGGGAGACCCCGUGGCCGAGAGGAGCCCAUACAGGUGGUGCAUGGCUGUCGUCAGCUCGUGUCGUGAGAUGUUGGGUUAAGUCCCGCAACGAGCGCAACCCCCGCCGCGUGUUGCCAUCGGGUGAUGCCGGGAACCCACGCGGGACCGCCGCCGUCAAGGCGGAGGAGGGCGGGGACGACGUCAAGUCAUCAUGCCCCUUAUGCCCUGGGCUGCACACGUGCUACAAUGGCCGGUACAGAGGGAUGCCACCCCGCGAGGGGGAGCGGAUCCCGGAAAGCCGGCCCCAGUUCGGAUUGGGGGCUGCAACCCGCCCCCAUGAAGUCGGAGUUGCUAGUAAUCGCGGAUCAGCAUGCCGCGGUGAAUGCGUUCCCGGGCCUUGUACUCACCGCCCGUCA